AAAUUUACAAAAAUAAACACAUUCUUGUUAAUAAAAGCACAAAAUAGAGUUUUCUCGGUUUAAAUUGCUCACAAUGUUAAUUAUCCCAUUGUGUGAACCAAUUUGUUUCACAACUGUCCUUUUUUUUUUUUAUAGCAAAAAUUUUAUGGUUUGUUGGAAAAUGGGCAUUGCCUUGUUGAUGGACGCACCAAGGUUAACUAGUGGAGUGGAAAUUCAUGAAAAUGAAGUAGCAACAUCAAUGGCUCCUUUUACUUUGGAUGCAUGCAUGUGCAGUGCUACCCACUCUCUAAAAUGUACUGAUGAACCAAUUCAAUUUCAUACCUUCUUUGGAUUUGGAAAGAAGCUUCUCCUUUCCGUACUGCUAAAAGCUCGAGGUCAAGUUAUUUGACAGGGUUAUUGAUUUGGACUUGUGUCAAAUGUUAUUUCAAUAAAUGAUCAACUACAUCAUUAUAAUACAAUGAAUCUUUGUAGAAUUCAUUAUACAUUAUAUUAUGAUGAUCCGAAUUGUCUAUUCAUUAAGUAUUUUUUCAUAUUAGUUCAUGACGUGUGUGGUACUCUUUUUUCUUCUGGGAUUUGUC
RNAcentral lists this long non-coding RNA (578 nucleotides) under Prunus dulcis (almond). RNAcentral's name for it is "sRNA ncRNA". Lineage: Eukaryota; Viridiplantae; Streptophyta; Magnoliopsida; Rosales; Rosaceae. The record is from RNAcentral.